This 468-nucleotide ribosomal RNA is filed under the name uncultured bacterium. Its description in RNAcentral is "partial 16S ribosomal RNA". It matches the Rfam family "Bacterial small subunit ribosomal RNA", at positions 28 to 507 of the family's 1533-position model. The record is from RNAcentral.
GACGAACGCUGGCGGCGUGCUUAACACAUGCAAGUCGAACGGAAAGGCCCUGCUUAUGUGGGGUGCUCGAGUGGCGAACGGGUGAGUAACACGUGAGUAACCUGCCCUUGACUUUGGGAUAACUUCAGGCAACUGGGGCUAAUACCGGAUAGGAGCUCCUGCUGCAUGGUGGGGGUUGGAAAGUUUCGGCGGUUGGGGAUGGACUCGCGGCUUAUCAGCUUGUUGGUGGGGUAGUGGCUUACCAAGGCUUUGCCGGGUAGCCGGCCUGAGAGGGUGACCGGCCACACUGGGACUGAGAUACGGCCCAGACUCCUACGGGAGGCAGCAGUGGGGAAUAUUGCACAAUGGGCGGAAGCCUGAUGCAGCAACGCCGCGUGCGGGAUGACGGCCUUCGGGUUGUAAACCGCUUUCGCCUGUGACGAAGCGUGAGUGACGGUAAUGGGUGAAGAAGCACCGGCUAACUACGUG